This 769-nucleotide ribosomal RNA is filed under the name Staphylococcus sp. SRU_18. Its description in RNAcentral is "bacterial SSU rRNA". It matches the Rfam family "Bacterial small subunit ribosomal RNA", at positions 94 to 849 of the family's 1533-position model. Lineage: Bacteria; Bacillati; Bacillota; Bacilli; Caryophanales; Staphylococcaceae. The record is from RNAcentral.
UGCGGCGGACGGGUGAGUAACACGUGGGUAACCUACCUAUAAGACUGGAAUAACUUCGGGAAACCGGAGCUAAUGCCGGAUAACAUUUGGAACCGCAUGGUUCUAAAGUAAAAGAUGGUUUUGCUAUCACUUAUAGAUGGACCCGCGCCGUAUUAGCUAGUUGGUAAGGUAACGGCUUACCAAGGCAACGAUACGUAGCCGACCUGAGAGGGUGAUCGGCCACACUGGAACUGAGACACGGUCCAGACUCCUACGGGAGGCAGCAGUAGGGAAUCUUCCGCAAUGGACGAAAGUCUGACGGAGCAACGCCGCGUGAGUGAUGAAGGUUUUCGGAUCGUAAAACUCUGUUAUUAGGGAAGAACAAAUGUGUAAGUAACUGUGCACAUCUUGACGGUACCUAAUCAGAAAGCCACGGCUAACUACGUGCCAGCAGCCGCGGUAAUACGUAGGUGGCAAGCGUUAUCCGGAAUUAUUGGGCGUAAAGCGCGCGUAGGCGGUUUCUUAAGUCUGAUGUGAAAGCCCACGGCUCAACCGUGGAGGGUCAUUGGAAACUGGGAAACUUGAGUACAGAAGAGGAAAGUGGAAUUCCAUGUGUAGCGGUGAAAUGCGCAGAGAUAUGGAGGAACACCAGUGGCGAAGGCGACUUUCUGGUCUGUAACUGACGCUGAUGUGCGAAAGCGUGGGGAUCAAACAGGAUUAGAUCCCUGGUAGUCCACGCCGUAUAACGAUGAGUGCUAAGUGUUAGGGGGUUUCCGCCCCUUAGUGCUGC